AACGCUAGCUACAGGCUUAACACAUGCAAGUCGAGGGGAAACGAUAGAGAAAGCUUGCUUUUUCUAGGCGUCGACCGGCGCACGGGUGAGUAACGCGUAUCCAACCUGCCCAUCACUUGGGGAUAACCUUGCGAAAGUAAGACUAAUACCCAAUGAUAUCUCUAGAAGACAUCUGAAAGGGAUUAAAGAUUUAUCGGUGAUGGAUGGGGAUGCGUCUGAUUAGCUUGUUGGCGGGGUAACGGCCCACCAAGGCGACGAUCAGUAGGGGUUCUGAGAGGAAGGUCCCCCACAUUGGAACUGAGACACGGUCCAAACUCCUACGGGAGGCAGCAGUGAGGAAUAUUGGUCAAUGGACGAGAGUCUGAACCAGCCAAGUAGCGUGCAGGAAGACGGCCCUAUGGGUUGUAAACUGCUUUUAUAAGGGAAUAAAGUGAGAGUCGUGACUCUUUUUGCAUGUACCUUAUGAAUAAGGACCGGCUAAUUCCGUGCCAGCAGCCGCGGUAAUACGGAAGGUCCGGGCGUUAUCCGGAUUUAUUGGGUUUAAAGGGAGCGUAGGCCGGAGAUUAAGCGUGUUGUGAAAUGUAGACGCUCAACGUCUGCACUGCAGCGCGAACUGGUUUCCUUGAGUACGCACAAAGUGGGCGGAAUUCGUGGUGUAGCGGUGAAAUGCUUAGAUAUCACGAAGAACUCCGAUUG
RNAcentral lists this ribosomal RNA (696 nucleotides) under uncultured bacterium. RNAcentral's name for it is "bacterial SSU rRNA". It matches the Rfam family "Bacterial small subunit ribosomal RNA", at positions 32 to 715 of the family's 1533-position model. The record is from RNAcentral.